Molecule: ribosomal RNA, 476 nt
Filed under: uncultured methanogenic archaeon
Lineage: Archaea; Methanobacteriati; Methanobacteriota
Description: bacterial SSU rRNA
Rfam family: Archaeal small subunit ribosomal RNA
Source: RNAcentral
AGGGUCCGUAGCCGGUUUGAUCAGUCUUCCGGGAAAUCUGACAGCUCAACUGUUAGGCUUCUGGGGGAUACUGUCAGACUUGGAACCGGGAGAGGUAAGAGGUACUACAGGGGUAGGAGUGAAAUCUUGUAAUCCUUGUGGGACCACCAGUGGCGAAGGCGUCUUACCAGAACGGGUUCGACGGUGAGGGACGAAAGCUGGGGGCACGAACCGGAUUAGAUACCCGGGUAGUCCCAGCCGUAAACGAUGCUCGCUAGGUGUCUGGGAUGGUGCGACCGUUUCAGGUGCCGCAGGGAAGCCGUGAAGCGAGCCACCUGGGAAGUACGGCCGCAAGGCUGAAACUUAAAGGAAUUGGCGGGGGAGCACUACAACGGGUGGAGCCUGCGGUUUAAUUGGACUCAACGCCGGAAAACUCACCUGGGGCGACAGCAAUAUGUAGGUCAGGCUGAAGGUCUUACCUGAAUCGCUGAGAGGAG